Nyctereutes procyonoides (raccoon dog) is the source of this 647-nucleotide long non-coding RNA. RefSeq lists it as uncharacterized. The record is from RefSeq and is a predicted model, not a curated record. The transcript is spliced from 3 exons. Lineage: Eukaryota; Metazoa; Chordata; Mammalia; Carnivora; Canidae.
CCUCAGGCACCGAGGAGACCAGAGCCGAGGACAGGAAGCCUGAGGAUGGGAUAGGGGCAGCCCCCAGGGCCUCCCCUGCUGGCUGAUGGAGAGAGCCUGCUGAGGAAGGGGGACUGAGACUCUAGGAUGACGCAGCCACACACACUGAGAUGGAGCACCCCCUGUCCCCCAAGCUUCGCCCGAGAGGCUGAAAGAGGAGAGACAGGCGAGGCGGACACGCAGACAGUGGGCAGGGCCGCCUGGGUCUUGUUGGUCCGCGUGCCGCCAGGCCUCUCUACCACCAUCACUACCACCCUCCUCUUCCCAUUCUCAUGAUCCACCCUCAGAGUGUCUACGCCGUGCCCGGAACCAUAUGCACAUCAGCUUCUAUUCUCAUCACAACCCUCCAAGGCUGCGCUUUACACGUCCACUUUACAGAGAGGGCAAGGAGGCUUGGGAUGGGCACAACCAGGACUCUGACUUAGGACUUUUUUUAGCACCAUCUUUCCCUCAAACCUGCCACUGCUCCAGAGAAGGUUCUAAACAUGGAAGUCAGGAUCCCUGGGUGGUGCAGCGGUUUGGCGCCUGCCUUUGCCCAGGGCGCGAUCCUGGAGUUCCGGGAUCGAGUCCCGCAUCGGGCUCCCAGCAUGGAGCCUGCUUCUCCCUCC